CUGUGGAUUUGCAAAUGGGCGAAGCCUGAUGCAGCCAUGCCGCGUGAGGGAUGACGGCCUUCGGGUUGUAAACCUCUUUUUGUAGGGAAGAAGCGGAAGUGACGGUACCUGCAUAACAAGCGCCGGUUAACUACGUGCCCCCAGCCGCUGUAAUCAGAGGCGGGGUA
This 167-nucleotide ribosomal RNA is filed under the name uncultured Arthrobacter sp. RNAcentral describes it as "partial 16S ribosomal RNA". It matches the Rfam family "Bacterial small subunit ribosomal RNA", at positions 355 to 536 of the family's 1533-position model. The record is from RNAcentral. Lineage: Bacteria; Bacillati; Actinomycetota; Actinomycetes; Micrococcales; Micrococcaceae.